This 73-nucleotide transfer RNA is filed under the name Marmota monax (woodchuck). Its description in RNAcentral is "tRNA.Phe". Lineage: Eukaryota; Metazoa; Chordata; Mammalia; Rodentia; Sciuridae. The record is from RNAcentral.
UGAGGUCUUGGCUCAGUGGUAGAGUGCUCCCCUAAAAUGAAUGAGACACUGGGUUCUAUCCUCAGCACCCCAC